RNAcentral lists this ribosomal RNA (1110 nucleotides) under Triticum aestivum (bread wheat). RNAcentral describes it as "bacterial LSU rRNA". It matches the Rfam family "Bacterial large subunit ribosomal RNA", at positions 1820 to 2925 of the family's 2925-position model. The record is from RNAcentral. Lineage: Eukaryota; Viridiplantae; Streptophyta; Magnoliopsida; Poales; Poaceae.
ACUCUGCAAACACGAAAGUGGACGUAUAGGGUGUGAUGCCUGCCCGGUGCUGGAAGGUUAAUUGAUGGGGUUAGCGUAAGCGAAGCUCUUGAUCGAAGCCCCAGUAAACGGCGGCCGUAACAAUAACGGUCCUAAGGUAGCGAAAUUCCUUGUCGGGUAAGUUCCGACCUGCACGAAUGGCAUAAUGAUGGGGGCGCUGUCUCCAGCAGAGACUCAGUGAAAUCGAAUUCGCCGUGAAGAUGCGGUGUACCCGCGGCUAGACGGAAAGACCCCGUGAACCUUUACUGCAGCUUGACAUUGAACUUUGAUCUUACUUGUGUAGGAUAGGUGGGAGGCUUUGAAGUCGCGACGCUAGUUGCGAUGGAGCCGUCCUUGAAAUACCACCCUGGUAAUAUUGAGGUUCUAACUCUGUCCCGUUAUCCGGGACGAGGACCAUGUCUGGUGGGUAGUUUGACUGGGGCGGUCUCCUCCUAAAGAGUAACGGAGGAGUACGAAGGUGCGCUCAGCGUGGUCGGAAAUCACGCGUAGAGUAUAAAGGCAAAAGCGCGCUUAACUGCGAGACCCACAAGUCGAGCAGGUACGAAAGUAGGUCUUAGUGAUCCGGUGGUUCUGUAUGGAAGGGCCAUCGCUCAACGGAUAAAAGGUACUCCGGGGAUAACAGGCUGAUACCGCCCAAGAGUUCAUAUCGACGGCGGUGUUUGGCACCUCGAUGUCGGCUCAUCACAUCCUGGGGCUGAAGCCGGUCCCAAGGGUAUGGCUGUUCGCCAUUUAAAGUGGUACGCGAGCUGGGUUUAGAACGUCGUGAGACAGUUCGGUCCCUAUCUGCCGUGGACGUUUGAGAUUUGAGAGGGGCUGCUCCUAGUACGAGAGGACCGGAGUGGACGAACCUCUGGUGUUCCGGUUGUCACGCCAGUGGCAUUGCCGGGUAGCUAUGUUCGGAAUAGAUAACCGCUGAAAGCAUCUAAGCGGGAAACUUGCCUCAAGAUGAGAUCUCACUGGAACCUUGAGUUCCCUGAAGGGCCGUCGAAGACUACGACGUUGAUAGGUUGGGUGUGUAAGCGCUGUGAGGCGUUGAGCUAACCAAUACUAAUUGCCCGUGAGGCUUGACCA